GCCCUGGUUCCUCGCAGGCAUCUGCACAGAAGUGGUUUGAUAUAAUCACCAUGACAACUGCCGCCUAUGAGCAUACAAAUAAUAGAGAUGAAAUAGACAAAAGAUUAGCAUGCCAUGAAAAGUACAAUAAGUUUCUUAUUUAGCAUUUAGAUAACUGUCUUUCCUUCGGAGCAGGCUUCAAAGUUGAACCCAGUUUAGACCAAGAGGAUUAAUUCUUUCUCCCGCAUGCUUCAUUGAAUCUCUCAUUACCAAACUUUGUCUGUAUUGAUGUAAGAUUUGAUUGAAGAUUAGAGCAUUUAGCAAAUCUUGCUUUUCUGCAUGUAUCAGGCCUUUUCAAGCGCGGGCCGCGCUGCCCAGUGGUCAAUACCCUUACUUUUAUCCAGUGUCUGCUUCAUUUAAACUUAAUCAACUCCCUCAAUGAACUGGAACAGGGAAACGUCCCUGCGGUAAGAAUGUUGUGCUUUUCUUAGAUAAUUCUUUGCUCCCUCUCCCAGUCCGCUGGCGUUAAACCUAAAAUUGCUCUCUGAUGAACUUAAUCAAUAUGAUAAUGACAAUUGGGGCUCAAUGGCUCGGCCUGGGCUCCGCGCGGAAAAGGUAGAUGGGCUGUGCCCAUUACCCAGGAGCAACUUCUCCUUUCUCGUCUCUCCUUUUGUGUGCUCUGCUCCCACCUCUCCCUCGCUCUUUUCCUCCCCCUUUCUCUUCUCCCCCUUCUUUCCCCGUGACACCGGCCGCUGCUCACGCCGGAGAAUGAUGCUUCUUUGUGCGGCAUGAGGACUCGUAUGUCACCGCCCGGGGAAGCGGCGCGGAGCGGUUGGCCGGGUGAAUUAUCUGCCUUGUUGCGGUGAAUUAUUUGCCCUGUUUCCUUUCCCAGUCAACAAGUUUCUGAGGUAUAGCACAGAUCAAUCAAAGCUGACAGAGCGCAUGUGAAGCUUUUACUGUGUAAAUCUGGACCUCUUGUCCCGGCUUCGUUGGCACUGGCAUCUGUAUAUCAUUUUUAUACUGCUACCAGUAGAGCAAUUUCAAAAGUAUUUGCAAGGAAAAUGGAUGUCCCCAUCUGUUCCCGGAAUCAUAAAUGUGCCACUUUCGGAGGGUUUUCACUGGUAAUCAUAUCUUUAAUGAUGAACAAACUUGUGAUAUAUACCUUUCCAUAAAAUGGGGUUUUCUUCGCUUUAUUGUGAUUGGCUGGGAUAAAUAGCUUUUCCAUAUGUUAGGGAGAUAAAACAUAAGAUUACCAGAGCUCGUUUGCUUGAUCAUAAACAAAAGAAACAAUUCGCCCCAAACACUCUUUAAACAGAAGCAACUGCAGAAUUAAAUUGUAUUAAUAGGCUGUCGAUGGGUCAGGAGGCAAACAACUGUCCCCGUGGAAAAGACAGCCGCUUUAAAAUACGAAUAGACGGCCUUUAUCACUGUUCGAGUGACCUUAAUGCAGACGUGGAUUUUAAAUACUAGAUGCUCUUUUUAACUUCUUUCCCCUCCCUUAAGAUUGUCUUGUCUUUGCCUCUCUCAUUUUUUUUCCCCUCUUCUGACUGACUUUGUAUUUCCCUAAGUGCAGAAGCGAGGAUGCUGUGCUAGGUAGUGGAUUGCCGUGCGCUAUAUUUAGAAAGCAUCUGGAAGAGAAAAUGUCCUCAGGAAUCCGGACUGUUUUGUUGUAAACACCCCUCCAGUUCCAGCGCUAUAAACGUAAACGCUCCUUCUCCAGACGCGACAGCGCUUGGCGCUGCCUGGGAGCGCCGGGUGAAUGCUGUUGGCAGAGACACCAGCAUGGAUGAAGCAAAGCCGGCUUCAGAGAAACAGCCCCUAACUGCUUGCGUGAGCCUGAGACUUCUAAUGUGAGGAAAAACAAGCGGUGACAAGUGUGGAAAAGAGCAAGCACUAAAUUACUGUCAGAAAAAUAAACGGCGGAGCGCUGUGCUGCGCAGUGAUUUACGGGGGCAAUUAGCCACAGCCCCACGGAGCUGCCGCGGCACCCCCCGGCGCUGGCCCGGCUCUUGCACCCAGCCCGGGCACCCGGGACUCGUCUCCCUCUCCCGCAGCUCUUGUUUUGCCUACCCCAGGAAUGGGGAUGUGGAGAAGGGAACUGUCUCGAAAGCCAGAUGCUGGGUUUGCAGGGAAGGUGUGAGCACUGUGGGUCUGCUUAUUCAUCGUGCCCAGGUGUGGGGUGAUUGAAAAGGUGAGGAAGUACAGUUAAAGAAAAAAUAUUCCCGGAGAAGGGAAGCUGGAAAGUGGGGUGGGAAAGCUGCUGGGGCUGGAGGAGGUGGCUCUGCAGCUGCUGCACGUCUGGAGAUGCUGUGGGCUAUUAGACAUCCGGGCAGCCCUGGAGAAGGGCCAGCUCUGCUGCUAGCUGAGGGUGGACAUUAAACAAGCUUAAUGCUGUUGUUUCACCAGGAGAGAUGUUUUAAUCUGAAGCUAGCAGCAAAGAAGGUAUAGACAGUCCAAGCUCCAGUUCAACCUGGACCAUGACAGUGAGCUCCCAGACAGCACAUUGCAGGGCUCCCUAGGGAGCAGCUGGAAGGAUCACCAAACCAUGGUCCACAGAAUCACAGACUGGUUUGGACUGGAAAGGACCUUAAAACUCAUCCAGUUCCAACCCACUGCCAUGGGCAGAGACACCUUCCACUAGAGCAGGUUGCUCCAAGCCCCACCUAACCUGGCCUUGAACACUGCCAGGGAUGAGGCAGCCACAGCUUCCCUGGCAGUAGCUCCAGCCACUACCAUGAGGUCUGCAAGCUCAGGCUCCCAAGCACAAAAAUUCAGGAGCUCCUCUGUCAAGAGCUCUGGUACAAACAGUAAAUGGGGCCUAUUUUGUGCAGAUGAUUUAACAAGGACUGCUUGGGUGAGGGAACAGAUUUGUCUCAGACCUCUUCUUUUUCAGAAGAACAAGUGCAGAAGCUUAGACUGGACCUUGUGGCUGGAAAGGGUGCCUAGGCCUGAGAGCCUCUGGUCUGUGAUUUCUGUCUUUAGGGAAUGCUGUGACACUCCUUUGCCCCAGCUCAUGUUACUGGAUCCACUUCGGACGUAUGGUGGUUUCAUUACUUGGUGCCAUGAUGCCUGCUGUCCUUGACCCCACUAUCCUCACUCAGUUGGUGCCUGUAUGUAUGCUUUAAUGUUCUAAAGCUGUGUUGGUCGCCAAGAGCUGGUCCAUCCCCUGAGCAGUGCCUGGCUCCUGCAGGAGGCACCAGUCAAGUUUGGAUGCAUUCUCCCAUUAGACCCGCCAGCUCUGUGUCUGGCUCCUCCAAAUAGUUGGCGUUUGGAGCAUGGGAGGCAGCCUGAGCUCACUUCAACAGCUGGUGCCAGCCGGUUCCUCAAGGAUUGGUGCCAGCAGCAGGAGGAGCAUGCCAGGGCCUUGCUUAUCAAAGAGACCAGCAUCCAUUCCAUGGCUGCCACCGAGGGACAAAGGGAAAAGCAGAAGAGCAAGUCCCUCUUGACAUGGCACCUUGUGGGAAAGACAGGCAUGUGCCAUUUAGAAGAGGAUGCAAGCUGGAGGAUGAAGAGAUGACCUUAGUGAGCGGCCUUCCCUCCUUGCUUCCAUUUCCUGGCUGGUGGGCAGUGUGUGAUACCUGCCUUUGGGAAGCACUUGAGGCUUAUAAAUGGAAAAUAGAUCACAGAGGUGAAGCAGCAGUGCUUACUUUGGGGUCUGCCUUUGGCUCCUUCCUCGCUUUCUAGAAGCGGUUCUUGUGGGGACACCUAAGGUGUUCCUGGUGCUCACCAUCCCUUGCAAGCCAGGGCCCUCCUUCUUCCACAGGUUGCUAGGCUGCCUCCUAUUAA
Neopsephotus bourkii (Bourke's parrot) is the source of this 3765-nucleotide long non-coding RNA. RefSeq lists it as uncharacterized. The record is from RefSeq and is a predicted model, not a curated record. The transcript has 3 exons. NCBI's taxonomy places the organism in Eukaryota, Metazoa, Chordata, Aves, Psittaciformes, Psittacidae.